This 497-nucleotide ribosomal RNA is filed under the name uncultured bacterium. Its description in RNAcentral is "partial 16S ribosomal RNA". It matches the Rfam family "Bacterial small subunit ribosomal RNA", at positions 28 to 507 of the family's 1533-position model. The record is from RNAcentral.
GAUGAACGCUGGCGGCGUGCCUAAUACAUGCAAGUCGAGCGAACAGACGAGGAGCUUGCUCCUCUGACGUUAGCGGCGGACGGGUGAUUAACACGUGGAUAACCUACCUAUAAGACUGGGAUAACUUCGGGAAACCGGAGCUAAUACCGGAUAAUAUAUUGAACCGCAUGGUUCAAUAGUGAAAGACGGUUUUGCUGUCACUUAUAGAUGGAUCCGCGUCGCAUUAGCUAGUUGGUAAGGUAACGGCUUACCAAGGCAACGAUGCGUAGCCGACCUGAGAGGGUGGUCGGCCACACUGGAACUGAGACACGGCCGAGACUCCUACAGGAGGCAGCAGUAGGGAAUCUUCCGCGAUGGGGGAAUGCCUGACGGAGCAACGCCGCGUGAGUGAUGAAGGUCUUCGGAUCGUAAAACUCUGUUAUUAGGGAAGAACAAAUGUGUAAGUAACUAUGCACGUCUUGACGGUACCUAAUCAGAAAGCCACGGCUAACUACGUG